Long non-coding RNA from Dermochelys coriacea (leatherback sea turtle), 524 nucleotides. RefSeq lists it as uncharacterized. NCBI's taxonomy places the organism in Eukaryota, Metazoa, Chordata, Testudines, Dermochelyidae. The transcript is spliced from 2 exons. The record is from RefSeq and is a predicted model, not a curated record.
AUGUAAAUCUACAGAAAAUCUAUUUGACUUGCUGCUACCACUAGAUGUCGCUGUGGGUGGAGUUCUGAAUAAUAGGGAGGGAGAGAAAGAUGGGGCUUAGCGUAAAGGGUGGAAUAUACUGGUCACUAAUGCAGAGAUUUCUCAGAGUAAAACAUCCUUUCAGCCUGGGUUACUCCCCACCUGUGCAAUGCACAGGAAAGUAAAAUCAGUGACACUAAAAUGAAGUAGCAGCAACAUUCCGAGGGAAGAUAUUUCUGGGGCAUUUUAUUUUAGGGAGAAUACAAACGUUCAUUUUUUGAUCAUGUUGUUCAACCAGCUCUAAAACGUACUAAGUUGUCGGAAGUCCGCAGUUUGUGCAAGAGAAACAGUUUUCUAAGGGGCUAGUCUGAGACUCCCAGGAACUAAGGACCAUCCCAAACCUCACCAUCUUCCCAUUGAAGUGCUAGGCACACAUGUCCAACCUGCUUUCUUUAAUGUAAACACAGUCGCACAGAUCUCUUCAAAAAAAAAAAAAACACAAAAAC